Molecule: ribosomal RNA, 406 nt
Filed under: uncultured bacterium
Lineage: Bacteria
Description: partial 16S ribosomal RNA
Rfam family: Bacterial small subunit ribosomal RNA
Source: RNAcentral
AUUGAACGCUGGCGGCAUGCUUUACACAUGCAAGUCGGACGAGUGGCGAACGGGUGAGUAAUAUAUUGGAACGUACCGAGUAAUGGGGGAUAACCAAUCGAAAGAUUGGCUAAUACCGCAUACUAUCGGAGGGGCCAAGAUCUGAUUAGCUAGUUGGUGGGGUAAAGGCUCACCAAGGCGACGAUCAGUAGCGGGUCUGAGAGGAUGACCCGCCACCCUGGGACUGAGACACGGCCCAGACUCCUACGGGAGGCAGCAGUGGGGAAUUUUGCACAAUGGGCGCAAGCCUGAUCCAGCCAUGCCGCGUGUCUGAAGAAGGCCUUCGGGUUGUAAAGUACUUUUGUUGGGGAAGCGUUACCUAAAGAAGAAGCACCGGCUAACUACGUGCCAGCAGCCGCGGUAAUAC